Long non-coding RNA from Limulus polyphemus (Atlantic horseshoe crab), 1008 nucleotides. RefSeq lists it as uncharacterized. The record is from RefSeq and is a predicted model, not a curated record. The transcript is spliced from 3 exons. NCBI's taxonomy places the organism in Eukaryota, Metazoa, Arthropoda, Merostomata, Xiphosura, Limulidae.
CGAAGUUUUAAUAUUCUUAUUCAUGGGAUAUGUUUUUAGUUAAAGGCAGAUUUAUUUAUAUUUUAAAUACAUAAGCUUGAACGCAAAUAUGUGAGCAUUUUAUUUAUUUUAAUUCAUGGGAAAACUGUGUGGAGUUCAAAAGGAAUGACAGCUAAAAAUCCAGAUAUUUAUGAAGUUCAAAUAGUAAGAUAAUUUGACGUUAGAUAUGGGUGAAGCGCAUAACGAUAACUAGAAGACAAGAUCAAAGUCAAAAUUAGAUUUGUAUAGAUUUCAACAGGAAUGAAAGCUAAAAAGAAAAAAAUGUGGAUCUUGGAUAUUUUAUUCAUGGGUAGAUCAGUGAAGGGUUCAAAAGAAAAGGUCAUGAAGUAGUUCCUCGUCUUGACGUCUGUAAUGCUGUCUAUGGAGGCAGAGUCAACGCUAUAAGACUCUUGUGCCACGUAAAGGACGGAUGAUGUGUUAAAUACGUCGGCUUUACAUCACUCUAUCCAAGGAUCAAUAAAUACUUCCAAGCAUGGUGAUCUUUCGUUUCUAUCGAACUUCUAAAAUCAAUGAAACAACACGAGUACUGUGAAUCGAUAAGUGAGCAUGCGUAAAGAUAACUCAGCAUCUAUCAGCGUCACAAGUUUGUGUUUUGAGCAAGCUCGUAAAGAACAGAAUGGUCUAUUGGAAUUCAAUGAAACCAGACAUCCGACACUUGACAUAAAAUCCAGCUAAUAACAAUUGUAUACUAGAGAAAAUGUUUACACCUGAAUAAAAAACUUUGAAAAAAUCUAGUUUCAAAGUAAAUAAUUUCCUAAUACAGCAGAGAAAAGUAGAAAUUCAAGGGAAAAUAUUUAUCAGGUUUUCAAUGGAAUAUUUUCGGUUCAAGAACAGGGUAUUUUAUGACAUAGAUUUAAAAGAGGUUUUUAACUUAGUUAAGAAGAUGUAAUAUAAAUUUCACUACAAAGUAAAUUUGGGAGGUCACUAACGUAUUUUUAGCAUGGUUACUUAAAUAUUAUAACAAUUUCG